UACGUAGGGGGCAAGCGUUAUCCGGAAUUACUGGGCGUAAAGCGCGCGCAGGUGGCCUGUUAAGUCGGGUGUGAAAGGCUGCGGCUCAACCGCAGAGCGGCACCCGAAACUGGCGGGCUUGAGUGCAGGAGAGGGAAGCGGAAUUCCCGGUGUAGCGGUGGAAUGCGUAGAGAUCGGGAGGAACACCAGUGGCGAAGGCGGCUUCCUGGCCUGUAACUGACACUGAGGCGCGAAAGCGUGGGGAGCAAACAGG
This 253-nucleotide ribosomal RNA is filed under the name uncultured Thermoactinomyces sp. Its description in RNAcentral is "partial 16S ribosomal RNA". It matches the Rfam family "Bacterial small subunit ribosomal RNA", at positions 524 to 776 of the family's 1533-position model. Lineage: Bacteria; Bacillati; Bacillota; Bacilli; Caryophanales; Thermoactinomycetaceae. The record is from RNAcentral.